This 294-nucleotide ribosomal RNA is filed under the name uncultured Bacteroidota bacterium. RNAcentral describes it as "uncultured Bacteroidetes bacterium partial 16S ribosomal RNA". The record is from RNAcentral. Lineage: Bacteria; Pseudomonadati; Bacteroidota.
GAGUUUGAUCCUGGCUCAGGAUGAACGCUAGCGGCAGGCUUAAUACAUGCAAGUCGAGGGGCAGCAGCUUUAUAGCAAUAUAGAGGCUGGCGACCGGCAAACGGGUGCGGAACACGUACACAACCUUCCUUGAAUAGGGGGAUAGCCCAUAGAAAUGUGGAUUAAUACCCCGUAAUAUAGCGGUGUGGCAUCACACUGUUAUUAUAGUUUCGGCGAUUCGAGAUGGGUGUGCGGCUGAUUAKGUAGUUGGCGGGGWAAAGGCCCACCAAGCCUUCSAUCWGUAUCUGAUGUGAG